RNAcentral lists this long non-coding RNA (2289 nucleotides) under Salvia miltiorrhiza (redroot sage). RNAcentral describes it as "long non-coding RNA (SMIL_LNC005913)". The record is from RNAcentral. Lineage: Eukaryota; Viridiplantae; Streptophyta; Magnoliopsida; Lamiales; Lamiaceae.
GAAUAGCAAAUGGGUAAAGCUGUCAACAAAUAAGAUCAAGAUAUUAAUUCAAAUUCUAAAGAGAGAUUUUUUUGAUAAAAAAUGUAAUUUGAGCUAUUGUUGGUUUGUCAAAUGAGCAUACCAUUGCCAAAGCUAGCAGCAUGCUUCCAUUUCUUGCCCGAACAAUCUUACAAACAUUGUAUACACUGCACGUGAAUGACAGAUAUUUAAAGCACAAUUUAAGCCGACCCUAACAAUAGUUGCACGGGCACUUAAUUUUAUCUCUACUCAUAAAGUUUGGCUGACUAGUGGCAAACUCAAGGAAAGUUUCAAGUCCCGACAAAAAUGUGGGAUUCCAACUACCAUCAGAAAGAUAUCGACUAUACAUCCAUUCACGAUUCUGAGUCAUUCUUGCAAUUCCUAAUAAAUAAAUUCCACUAAAUGAGGUAAUCUUGAAUAUAUAUACUAUAAUAAAGAAUUUUUAAAUAACCCUCUAAAAAAAGAAUUUUCAAAUAAGAUGAGUCAUUCUUGCAUUUCCUAGUUAAAUACUAGUUUAUAAAACAAGAAAUAAGAAGGAAUGAUCUACAUUACCUGUUAUUAAUUUUUAACUAGAAAGUGAAAGAGUGAAUGGCAAAUAUUCAAUCCUAACAGCAAGUAUUCAAUCCUAACAGCAAGAUUUCAAAAAAGAAAUUAUGAGUUUCCAAAAAUCCUAACAGCAAGUAUUCAAUCCUAACAUCAAGUAUUCAAUACCUAAGUUCCUUCAAGAAAAUGGCCGUGGCAGUGAUUUUCCAGCUAUCCCUGUAUAUAAUGCCUCGUAUUCUGCUGAUCUGCACAAAACAGGUACUGUUUUAAGCGACUUUUGAUAGUUUUUUUGAUCUGCACAAAAUAGGUACUGCACAAGUUUUAGAAAAGUAGAAGAACUUACGCACUAUGUUUCAGGUUUGUGAUAGUACCAAGUCUUAAAUGAUAGGAAACAAUCAACAAUACGACAUGAAGAAUUUCAUUAGGCUGAACAGGAAAAUCUGAAUAUAAAGGUGGAAAUUUCCAAAUGCUGUAUCACAUAGACAACUCUUGACUAAAUAUGCACUAAAUAGGUACUAUUAGGUACACAUGCAUAUACAUACAAAAUAAAACAAAAGAAGCAAGCACACACAUCCCUCAUUUGCAGUCAAUAAUUUUGCUCUUGCUAAAGUAAAUGAAUGGAUAGAACAAGAAAAAUUGUCAUAAAGUUCAUGAAUAAGUCAAAGUUCCAAUGAGAUAAGUGUGUUCCGAACUACAAUGAUGCAUAAAUUCAAUUAAUACCUGCAAUUCCUCCCCAAAAUUCAAUCAACUUCAUUAGUUUAUUCCUCAUAUAAUGUGAACCACUCGUUACAGAAAGAGAAAAAUGAAAGCAAAUCAAUGCAAUGUAGCAAUAGAGAAAAAUACAAAAGAGAAUUCCGGAGUAGUUCAUAUCAUCCAUGCAGAUGCUAUCAACUUCGCCCAAACAAACUGAACAGAAUAAAUACAAUAUUAAGAAACACUUUUAGAGUAUAAUUCAUCUUAAAAUAGGAUUAUCAGGAAGUCUGGGAUCAAAAUGAUUAAUAAACUGCACACAGCUCAAUGGGACAGUGGUCUAUUAUCAGAGAAGCAGGAAAUCCAGGGCAAACGAACCAUGAUUUCAGUUUUGAGCAGCCAGAACAAGAGGAAAACAACUAAACCAAUCAUCAUCAAGCAAAAAAGAAAAAAAAAGGUUUAGUAACAGUCUCAGAAAAUUCUUUUUAAAUUCUUGCAACCGCUUUUUUUUCCACACCAUAUUCUCAUCAUCCUGCAUAUUUUCUCCAUUUCUAUUGAUAAUUAAAUAACUUCAUAAACAAACAGAAAAACAUACCAAAUAUUCCCAUAUUCGCCCUGCAUUUUCAUAAACCGAAGGCAAUAGCAUCUCAAACAGAUUAAGGAAACAAAAGUUUGCUCCAUUGAUAACGAAGCUUACCAAUUGUUGCAGCUAUGGAGUCGCGGGACAGGGUAGGCUGGGCGAGGGCGGUGCAAUCCCGAAAUUGGGAGUCUAAUGUCAAAUAACAAAACUUAGUUAUUAACAUUCUCAUAACCAGAAGAGAACCCCCACAAAUCGAAGAGAACUUGCCAAUUGAUGGCGGCUGCGACGGUGAGGGUCGGAGCAAGGACGGUGGCGACGCCGGUGAGAGGACGGCGGUGAGAGAAAUGGAAGACCAGUAGCGGCUGGAACGGUGAUAAAAACCUAAGUUUGUAAUUGGGGGUAAAUGAUUACCGCUCAGUUGGAACAAUGGGUUAGAUUUGAAAAUUCAAUUUUGCUAC